ACUCCUACGGGAGGCAGCAGUGGGGAAUUUUUGGCAAUGGGCGAAAGCCUGACCAAGCAACGCCGCGUGGGUGAUGAAGUAUCUCGGUACGUAAAACCCUUUCGACGGGGACGAAACCGCAAGGUUGACGGUACCCGUAGAAGAAGCCCCGGCUAACUUCGUGCCAGCAGCCGCGGUAAUACGAAGGGGGCUAGCGUUGUUCGGAUUUACUGGGCGUAAAGGGCGCGUAGGCGGUUUUGUAAGUCAGGCGUGAAAGCCCCGGGCUCAACCCGGGAAUUGCGCUUGAUACUGCGGAACUUGAAUCCAGGAGAGGAUGGCGGAAUUCCCAGUGUAGAGGUGAAAUUCGUAGAUAUUGGGAAGAACACCAGUGGCGAAGGCGGCCAUCUGGCCUGGAAUUGACGCUGAGGCGCGAAAGCGUGGGGAGCAAACAGGAUUAGAUACCCUGGUAGUCCACGCCGUAAACGAUGAGUGCUAGACGUCGGGAAGCUUGCUUUUCGGUGUCGACGCUAACGCAUUAAGCACUCCGCCUGGGGAGUACGGCCGCAAGGUUAAAACUUAAAGGAAUUGACG
RNAcentral lists this ribosomal RNA (570 nucleotides) under uncultured Alphaproteobacteria bacterium. RNAcentral's name for it is "bacterial SSU rRNA". It matches the Rfam family "Bacterial small subunit ribosomal RNA", at positions 335 to 915 of the family's 1533-position model. Lineage: Bacteria; Pseudomonadati; Pseudomonadota; Alphaproteobacteria. The record is from RNAcentral.